UUGCAGUCACAUCUCCAAAGUGAACAUGUUAUGCUUGUAGUCAUGUAAACAAGGAGGCAAGAAAUUGUUCCCAUUGCCAAUAAGCUUAUAACUUCUGGUGUUUCUUCUCCUUUUUUUAGAACUUAGAAGCAGAGAGUGAAGCAAAUAUUUGGCUAUGCUAAGUAACUUUUGGGAGAUGCUUUGUAUAUUAAAUAUUAAUGUGUUGAAAGAAAAUUCUAGAUAACAAUGCAACUUUCUUUUGAUUUUGUUGUGACUCAAAUGGUGUUUACUGUCUUGACUCUUGUCCCUAUAUUUCAGCUGUUGUACUAAUAGAGAAAGUUGUGAUUUCUGUUCCAUCUUCACUGGGAUAUUAUGUUAUUGGCUCUGAGCAAACAUAAGCCUGUUUGGCAUGGAUAGCCCGUACAAAGGAGCAUUUUUUGUUUUGAGAUGCUGGAGUGUAUCUGAUGAUUCACUAUUAAACUCAGAAACUUUCUUUGAAUUUAAAAAGACAAGCUUAAAAGAGCAUUUUUCUUCAUUAAAAGCUUGCAUUAUACCCAUACAGAAGACAUGCAACUUUUUUGCCAGUGCCUUUUCAUAGCUUGUGUUUAUGAAGUUUCAG
RNAcentral lists this unclassified non-coding RNA (598 nucleotides) under Hevea brasiliensis (rubber tree). The record is from RNAcentral. Lineage: Eukaryota; Viridiplantae; Streptophyta; Magnoliopsida; Malpighiales; Euphorbiaceae.